RNAcentral lists this ribosomal RNA (460 nucleotides) under uncultured bacterium. RNAcentral describes it as "partial 16S ribosomal RNA". It matches the Rfam family "Bacterial small subunit ribosomal RNA", at positions 338 to 795 of the family's 1533-position model. The record is from RNAcentral.
CCUACGGGAGGCAGCAGUGAGGAAUAUUGGUCAAUGGACGAGAGUCUGAACCAGCCAAGUAGCGUGAAGGAUGACUGCCCUAUGGGUUGUAAACUUCUUUUAUAAGGGAAUAAAAUGUUCCACGUGUGGGAUUUUGUAUGUACCAUAUGAAUAAGGAUCGGCUAACUCCGUGCCAGCAGCCGCGGUAAUACGGAGGAUCCGAGCGUUAUCCGGAUUUAUUGGGUUUAAAGGGAGCGUAGGUGGAUUGUUAAGUCAGUUGUGAAAGUUUGCGGCUCAACCGUAAAAUUGCAGUUGAAACUGGCAGUCUUGAGUACAGUAGAGGUGGGCGGAAUUCGUGGUGUAGCGGUGAAAUGCUUAGAUAUCACGAAGAACUCCGAUUGCGAAGGCAGUUCACUGGACUGCAACUGACACUGAGGCUCGAAAGUGUGGGUAUCAAACAGGAUUAGAUACCCGUGUAGUC